Molecule: transfer RNA, 75 nt
Filed under: Candidatus Saccharimonadota bacterium
Lineage: Bacteria; Candidatus Saccharimonadota
Also listed under: 4 other names
Description: tRNA-Thr
Rfam family: tRNA
About the family: Transfer RNA (tRNA) molecules are approximately 80 nucleotides in length. Their secondary structure includes four short double-helical elements and three loops (D, anti-codon, and T loops).
Source: RNAcentral
GCCCAAGUAGCUCAGUGGUAGAGCACUUCCAUGGUAAGGAAGGGGUCCAGGGUUCAAUCCCCUGCUUGGGCUCCA